AUCCAUCUGACCAGUCCCAAAUAGGAAGAAACUCGCGUCCUGGAU
Schistosoma rodhaini is the source of this 45-nucleotide non-coding RNA. NCBI's taxonomy places the organism in Eukaryota, Metazoa, Platyhelminthes, Trematoda, Strigeidida, Schistosomatidae. The record is from Rfam.